Molecule: long non-coding RNA, 296 nt
Organism: Gallus gallus (chicken)
Lineage: Eukaryota; Metazoa; Chordata; Aves; Galliformes; Phasianidae
Source: Ensembl
GCAGAAGUUUGCUAAACCUGGUUCUGUGUAGAUUAAGCUCAUGAUCACCCCUUUACCAGGAGGCCAUGAUUGCAUGGUGGAAGUGCAGCAUCACAUGCUCCAUGCAGUUAUAUUCAGCUAGUGGGAAGGCUGUCAUCCAAUAUGUUGAUGGUACUGUGUUGUCUAUCAUAUUUCAAACAUCUGAAACUACAAAACUAAAGAACAGAAUGUCUUCGUUUCCCCAUUUAUCAUUUCUGCUCCCAUAGGAUCUGUCAUUGCAGAAUUCAUUUUCAAAGUGAGGUAAGGGAGAAAUUCCU